RNAcentral lists this small nuclear RNA (1175 nucleotides) under Staphylococcus aureus. RNAcentral's name for it is "SAUSA300s285". The record is from RNAcentral. RNAcentral also lists the same sequence under 1 other name. Lineage: Bacteria; Bacillati; Bacillota; Bacilli; Caryophanales; Staphylococcaceae.
UUGAAAAAGAUUUCUAGAAAUACAAUUAAUGUUCAUCUAGAUAUUGUACGAAGUUGUAUGAAUAAGUUAAACUUAAGUUGAAUCAAUUUAAAUGUUCAAGGAGGUUAACAAAUGGUUUUUAAUGAUUGGGAAAUUAACGUUGUAUACUCAGGAGAGCAUGAGGUUGUAACAAACGAAAAGAGUUUAUUUGUCAUUGACGAAUUUUACGAUGUUGCAAUCGCAAUCUAUUAUUUAGAUGGAAAAUUAAAAGUAGCUCAUGUCAACUAUGGUUCUGAUUUUACAAUUGACGUAGCUAAUAAAGUUUUUGAAUUGAAUAUUCAAAAUCCAAAUGUUGAUGAGCAUUAAAUAUUAAAAAGCAUUUAGAAUCAUAAAGAGCAUACUAUAUAUAGCCUUUUACAUGUAAAGCAAAUGAAAAUUAGAUAAUCUAAUUAUUUCAACAUUAAACAAUAUAUCAUUAUAAAGAAGUUUUUAAAAUAGAAGUAUAAGGUGGUGAACAAAAAUUAACAUUGUGUAUAACAUUAUAGUAUAUAUAGCAUGCAUGAUUAAUUUCGGAUUAAUUAUAGUCCCAUUAUUAACAACAAAUGAUGCGGAUUUUGUAUGGACUUCUUCAUCAUUAAUAUAUAUGAUUCUUCUUACGUCGAUUAUCCUAAUAGUUUAUAUUAAAACUAAAGAUAGCUUACAGUUAACGAUAUUUAUACUUAAUAUAGCCUUAAUUAUUCUAUACUGUGCACCAUUACUAUUCAUUUAUGUAUUCUAGUGCUUCAUUAAUAUUUUAAUGCAUCAGUUUAAGUAAAUUCCAUUUGGAAAAUAAAAAGCAAAUAUCAUCAUCAAAUUAACAUAUUUAACGUUAUACUUUCAUAAAAUUUGAAACAAUUGAACAUCCUUACUUUAGCUUUAUAUCUUUAUUUCAAGUCAUGUUUUCAACUAUUUUAAUGAAUUAAACAUAUAUUAUAAGGAGUCAACAUCAUGAAUAAACAUAUAAAUAAAAAAGCCGCAAAACUACUUGAAGAUUAUAAAAAGGUUCAACAAAGAAAAUCGAAAGAAACUGAUAGAGGUUGUUUGAAAAGUGUCAUCAUGCUUAUCGUCUUAUUUUUCUUAAUUAUUUUUGGUAUUGUGGCAUGUUCUACAAACGUAAACUUUUUCUUCCAGUAAAAGAGUGAGAUAGAAAUGAUAAA